UACGUAGGGUGCGAGCGUUAAUCGGAAUUACUGGGCGUAAAGCGUGCGCAGGCGGUUUUGUAAGCCAGAUGUGAAAGCCCCGGGCUUAACCUGGGAAUGGCAUUUGGGACUGCAAGGCUUGAGUGCGGCAGAGGGGGGUGGAAUUCCUGGUGUAGCAGUGAAAUGCGUAGAUAUCAGGAGGAACAUCGAUGGCGAAGGCAGCCCCCUGGGCCUGUACUGACGCUCAUGCACGAAAGCGUGGGGAGCAAACAGG
Molecule: ribosomal RNA, 253 nt
Filed under: uncultured bacterium
Lineage: Bacteria
Description: partial 16S ribosomal RNA
Rfam family: Bacterial small subunit ribosomal RNA
Source: RNAcentral